CCCCCCCCCCUCCCCACUAAAAUAUUUUAACAUUUGAGUAGGGACGACCAAAAAAAUUAUUAGAGCUAUAAUAGAGUACCGCAAGGGAAAAGUGAAAUAAUAAUGAAAUACCACAAAGCAGAAAAAAGUAAAGAUUAUAACUUGUACCUUUUGCAUCAUGGUUUAACUAGUUCAACCGAGCAAAGAGAUUUUUUAGUUCGACCUCCCGAAACUGGGUGAGCUACUUCAGGGCAACUAAUUGAGCCAACCCGUCCCUGUUGCAAAAGGGUGGGAUGACCCUGUAGUAGAGGUGACAGACCUAACGAAUUCAGUGAUAGCUGGUUACUCAAGAAAAGAAUCUUAGUCCAACCUAAAGCUAUCUAAUAAAAUACACUAUUGCUUUAGAGUAAUUCAAAUAAGGUACAGCCUAU
This 410-nucleotide ribosomal RNA is filed under the name Ischnocnema guentheri (Steindachner's robber frog). RNAcentral describes it as "partial 16S ribosomal RNA". It matches the Rfam family "Bacterial large subunit ribosomal RNA", at positions 396 to 1007 of the family's 2925-position model. Lineage: Eukaryota; Metazoa; Chordata; Amphibia; Anura; Brachycephalidae. The record is from RNAcentral.